UACGGGGGGGGGUAAGCGUUGUUCGGAAUUACUGGGCGUAAAGGCUCGUAGGCGGCCAACUAAGUCAGACGUGAAAUCCCUCAGCUUAACUGGGGAACUGCGUCUGAUACUGGAUGGCUUGGAUUUGGGAGAGGAAUGCGGAAUUCCAGGUGUAGCGGUGAAAUGCGUAGAUAUCUGGAGGAACACCGGUGGCGAAGGCGGCAUUCUGGACCAAUAUUGACGCUGAGGAGCGAAAGCCAGGGGAGCAAACGGG
Molecule: ribosomal RNA, 253 nt
Filed under: uncultured bacterium
Lineage: Bacteria
Description: partial 16S ribosomal RNA
Rfam family: Bacterial small subunit ribosomal RNA
Source: RNAcentral